Long non-coding RNA from Physeter macrocephalus (sperm whale), 3609 nucleotides. RefSeq lists it as uncharacterized. The record is from RefSeq and is a predicted model, not a curated record. The transcript is spliced from 3 exons. NCBI's taxonomy places the organism in Eukaryota, Metazoa, Chordata, Mammalia, Artiodactyla, Physeteridae.
CUCCUCCUCCAGUCAGUAACCCUUCUGCCUGUUCACUUGAUGCCAGCCCCUGGAUGCCAGUUGUGUACUGUACUGCUGUACUUUUCAAGCUCCACCCUUAGUCCCCGAUUCCAGAGGUGUUUGAUGCUGCCCUGCGUGAGGGUUUUGAGGAUUCCGUCCCAUAACUCAGGAGGAAGAAAUUGCCUAUGGCUGAGUUGGAGAGAAACUUCUGAAAACUGGAUUUAUUCUGCCAGAAAGGGCUUUUGAUUCUAAGCUGUCCUAAAGAUAUAGACAAUUCAGUUAAGCAUGCAACUCAAAGCAAUGAUACAGGAUGUGUUGGAAAGAGGCCUUCUGGUGAAGGCUAAGAUAUAUGAUUAAAAAGUAAUUUAAAAUAGUUAAGACCAUGAAGAGUUUGGACUGGAAGUCGGGAAAUUUGAGUUUUAGCCCCAGAAUCUGCUUUUAAUUAGUUCUGUAACUUAGGGAAUUAACUUCUCUUUCAAAGCCUUGGCUUCCUCACUUAAAACGCAGAGGCCAAUGCAUACAGUCCCCAAGGCCUCCUACAGCCCUAAAUCUCCCUGAGGGAAAUUUCAGCCAGGACGCCACUGACACACUGGCAACUGAGAACAGGGUGGUCUCUGGGGUGAAUCACGGCUGUGGGACACGGGACACGAGGUGAGCGCAUUCUUCUCAACCAAAGCCUUAUGGAGUCUCUCCUUCAUGCGUCUAAGAGCUUCCAAAACGCAAAGAGACAGAUGAUCCCAUUUUACAUUUUUUAAUUUUUGAGAGAGAGGCAGAGUGAUGACUACCCCACCUCUCCCCCAAGUGCAAUGGAAGCCUGGGCCCUCCUGGGGUCCCACAUGAGGCUCGGAGACCCUCCCACCAUGCAUCACCUCAUCCCACCCCCCAGAAUGAAAGGGGGGUGGCUCAGAGUGUGAGGAGAGUGCUGGAGGGAGUCCAGAUUUUGUCAACCGUGAGCCCAAACCCAGUCCACAGGAACGUGCCUGUGAAUUUCUAACAUCCCAUAUUUACCAAAAAGUGUAAAGGUCAUAGCAGGUAGGGGCAUUGGUUGUAAGAAGUAUCAACCCACUUGUCCUGGCAUAGAAAAAGGGGGCCUUUAUUAUAAGGAUAUGAGGUGAUGCCUGACAUCAAAGGAGGAGUGGAGCUGGGCCAUGUGCACAGAUCACUCUGUUCCCUGCACAGCCUGCACGGACCACUCUGUUCCAUGCACACACCACUCUGUUCCCUGCACGGACCACUCUGUUCCCCACACAGGACCACUCAGUUCCCUUCCCCGCACGGACCACUCUGUUCGCACAGGCAGACUCCAUCAUUUGCUUCUCUUGCCCAUGUGGGAGUUGUCAGCCGCCACCGCUCCAAGGUUCCUCGUCAGCCCUGAGUGUCAGUUCCCGGGUUUCCAGGACGUGUGAUCUGAUGGGCCCACUUAGGUCAGAAGGUCAUGGUUCAUCCAACCAGCUGUAGUCCAGGGGAGGGGGACCAACCCUGUGCCUGAGGUGGGAAGUUCCCAGAACCGUGGAGCUUACAGGCCCAAGAAAUCCUCCUGUAGAGGCUGCCACAUGGAGUGAGGGGCACACAGGAUUUUACUCUUGAGGGGAAAAUUUAGGGUUGCUCUUUUUAAAAUAUCUUCCCUGUUUAGAAGUAUUUUCCUUUCCACCAGGAAAUCAGUAUGAUGAGCAGGAGAAACAAUUCACCUAAAAGUCCUGUAGGUGAAUCUUUAUCCCAAAUGUUUGGCCACUCCAAGAUUGUGUCAUCUGUUCGUAAAACUAUUCUGCAUGUUUGCUCUGCGGACCAGCCUGUGCUGAAUCGAUGUCAAACGACUGGGACAGGCUGUGUGGUGACCGACGGCUGGGAGCAGGCCAAACCCAGCCUUCCAGUCAGGCCACAGGCCAAGUGUGCAGCGCUGGACGGUGGCUGUCACAUCCCAAGGGAACCUGGACUCUGGCUCCCACAGCGCAGGCCCACUGGGGUCGCGACCUGAAGGCAGACAAGAACAGAAAGGGACAGCCAUUUCUCCCCUGGGUGGCAGGGCGGCCAGCCAGCAGCCUCGGGUCCAGAGCUGGAGCCGGACGUGAGUAGCGAGGCUUGGGCCCGCAGACAGGAGCUGUGACGGCAGGUUAUGGCCCAGCGGGAAGGAAGUCCCUUGUGCCAUCAGCAGAGUCUGCUCCUGAAAGGACAUUGUUUCCGCGUGCGGUGGGGAGAGGCCCCAUCUGCAGGAGGCCCGGGGCAUGGAGGCAGGUCCCUCUCCUUUGCCCACGCCCAGCCUGGGGCCUGGAGGACGGCCGUGGCCCAGCAGCCCCUCCUCUCUGGACCUCUGCUGUUUCCCCCGGGAAGGCUCCCGGGCCCAGGACUAGCACAGACCACGCAGAUGGACAUGGGGCACCUGUGGACCCCCCUUUGUGCGUCUUCUCCAUCGGGCCACCCAGGCCACCUGCUGGGGCCGUGUCCCCAUGUCCAGCAGACUCUCACUGGCAGGACCCAGGCAUUUCCCUAACACACUUGUGUGUUUUCUGAGAUGUGGUGUUAACCUCGUAAAUGUCUGGAUGAAAGUUCGAAUAAACAAAAUCACCCAUUGUCCUUGAUCCCAGGUGGAUUGGUCUGUUCUAGUUGAGCCAUGAGCCUGUCUCUGGAGUGUCUGUAAGCGUGUUUGAUGGCUGCAUGGGUCCAUCUUCUGUGCUUUUCCACGUGGAAGCACCAGGUUCAUCUAAUGAAGAGAUCACUUUUAAAUCUGCCGUUGGCUGCGAUCAAGGGCUCUACAGAGCACACGGUCUAGUCAAUGAAGACAGUGUGCGAAGAGCUGGGUCUCCCACGUCCUCAACGCGCGCCUGCGGUGGGACCACACUUAGUACUUCGUUAUUUCCCGACCUUAACAAGACGUUAGGAGUGAUGGAUAAAGGAACUGAGGAUUUCACGGGGAGGUUAAGGGGGCGAAUUCAAAGGACACACCAGCCGCAGUUGUAAUUGAUUCUCCUCCCCCAUAUUUCCUCUCUGCCUGGGCUGGUUCUUCUCCUUUCCCCUGCCCCACCUCCCUCUGAGAUCCCCCUUUAUGACCCAGCAGGUCAGCUGCAUAAAUCACACUCUGCAACCCGGCCUAACAGACUGGCUUUAUGUUUCCCUCAAGCAAGCCCCUCGGCCGGUGGGUGUUACCUCACUAGGUGUGUGCUGAGCGUGUUCAAGAACCUGGUUCCCUUCUGUGUUGGGAAAAAAGUCACCAUUGCCACCCCUGUGGGUCUUACUCAGCAAGACAGCCUUGCUUUCUGAGACCAGCAAUUACGCUCCGUCUGAACAAACGAAGUCAGCGCCCAGAAGGGCCGCAUCCCGGUUCACCUGGUGAGUCACUGGGGCUCACAAACCUGCCUAGAAAAAACCCACCGGAUCCUCGGAACCACAGCCACUUCUCAGCCUUUCUGCCAUCUCCCGGCUGGGUUCUGUCUUCUGACGUGAGAUAUUCCCUGUCCCCAAAAUAUUUCCUAAUAUCUCCUCAACCCAAGAAAGUUCAAAGACUCUACAUUCAAAUAUCCAUUCGAACGCAUUUUAAAACCUUUUUGCCUAUCACACAAUUAUUGUAACUGAGCUAAACGACAAAGUCUGGUGUUUACAAAUCAUGUCCAAUGC